GUAAUACCUUAUACGCCCUUUGGGGGAAAGAUUUAUCGGAGAAGGAUUAGCCCGCGUUAGAUUAGGUAGUUGGUGGGGUAAUGGCCUACCAAGCCUACGAUCUAUAGCUGGUUUGAGAGGAUGAUCAGCCACACUGGGACUGAGACACGGCCCAGACUCCUACGGGAGGCAGCAGUAGGGAAUCUUAGACAAUGGGGGCAACCCUGAUCUAGCCAUGCCGCGUGUGUGAUGAAGGCCCUAGGGUCGUAAAGCACUUUCGCCAGAGAUGAUAAUGACAGUAUCUGGUAAAGAAACCCCGGCUAACUCCGUGCCAGCAGCCGCGGUAAUACGGAGGGGGUUAGCGUUGUUCGGAAUUACUGGGCGUAAAGCGCACGUAGGCGGAUUAGUAAGUUAGAGGUGAAAUCCCAGGGCUCAACCCUGGAACUGCCUUUAAUACUGCUAGUCUUGAGUUCGAGAGAGGUAAGUGGAAUUCCGAGUGUAGAGGUGAAAUUCGUAGAUAUUCGGAGGAACACCAGUGGCGAAGGCGGCUUACUGGCUCGAUACUGACGCUGAGGUGCGAAAGUGUGGGGAGCAAACAGGAUUAGAUACCCUGGUAGUCCACACCGUAAACGAUGAAUGCCAGACGUCAGCAAGUAUACUUGU
RNAcentral lists this ribosomal RNA (642 nucleotides) under uncultured Planktomarina sp. RNAcentral describes it as "bacterial SSU rRNA". It matches the Rfam family "Bacterial small subunit ribosomal RNA", at positions 163 to 840 of the family's 1533-position model. Lineage: Bacteria; Pseudomonadati; Pseudomonadota; Alphaproteobacteria; Rhodobacterales; Paracoccaceae. The record is from RNAcentral.